ACCACUUCUUGGUAUACCACCCCCUUCAUCUGAAAUCUUGAUGGUAACAUCCUCUAGUCCAUCAGCAACUAUUAUUCUAACAGGUGGGGCAACUUUGUCCGAGUCCACAAAUCUCUCUUCCACAGCACGCAAGGAGUUCUUAACCAACUCAAAAACCAUCAAAUGCAGAUGUGUUGGCACAUAGGGAAAUGUAAAGUUUGGGUCCCCAUAAAUGUUGACCUUAGGUGCACUUCCAUAUUCGCGCAAGCAAAUAGAACGGGCAUCCUCUGUAGCGUUGCGUGCAACCUCCAAGGGGGACAUUUUUGUAUGUAUAUAGCCCACACAAUCAGGAGGUGGAUUAGGAUCGUGUAGAGCGACAUGCUGCCCGAUAAGCAUUCGGAUGCCAAUCCUAGACAUGUAAAAGCGAUCAAGAAACUGGUGUAUCUCAUCCAAAUCCUUAUAAUCAAUCUUAGGGUGUAGAUCUUUUUUUAGUUGUUGAACUCCCAAAGCCAUCAUAGGUACAACAUUGUUAUGUCGUACUUUAACCAAAUUAAUCAUUUUUGUGAAUUCCAACUCGUCAUUCUCAUCUUUUAUAUCUGGAAAGGAUCUAAGGUCACGGAAAGAAUCCAAAUACCAAUCCCGAACCUUUAGAACAGCAGGCUUGAGAGAUAAACCAUAAGGAAGAGUUUGUAGGUCAAUAACCCUGCGAGCAAUGCGCAUAGGGAGUUCCUUGUGAAGGAAUUGAGAUGAAAUAAGCAAAUUACGGGGAGUGGGUUUGGAACCGAACUCCAUCAUGUACUUGAGACUCACACCAGUUUGUUUCAUCGAACCCCAUCGAUGAACUUCCUCAAUCAGUUCCUUAGAAAACGACUCGUACAGUUUCUUUGCCGCCAUAUAUGACUUAAGAUCUUAUUAAUAAUAAUAAUCUAUUGAAAAUGGAAGAAGGCGGUAUCUACGAGGCAAGUUUCACCUUUUUUAUCCAUUCAUCCAUCUUCUGACACACUCACUCACCACCACAGCAACAGAGAGAGAAAGAUGGUUCCGAUCCAUCAUCAAAAAAUCAAAAUUCAGAUAAGGAGAAAACAAAAACUGUCUCUUACUCUCUUGCUCGGGCGGCUGUUGCCUAAUAUUUAGCCUAAAA
This 1120-nucleotide unclassified non-coding RNA is filed under the name Hevea brasiliensis (rubber tree). The record is from RNAcentral. Lineage: Eukaryota; Viridiplantae; Streptophyta; Magnoliopsida; Malpighiales; Euphorbiaceae.